This 480-nucleotide ribosomal RNA is filed under the name uncultured bacterium. RNAcentral's name for it is "bacterial SSU rRNA". It matches the Rfam family "Bacterial small subunit ribosomal RNA", at positions 422 to 916 of the family's 1533-position model. The record is from RNAcentral.
GUUGUAAACCUCUUUCAGUAGGGAAGAAGCGAAAGUGACGGUACCUGCAGAAGAAGCGCCGGCUAACUACGUGCCAGCAGCCGCGGUAAUACGUAGGGCGCAAGCGUUAUCCGGAAUUAUUGGGCGUAAAGAGCUCGUAGGCGGUUUGUCGCGUCUAUCGUGAAAGUCCGAAGCUCAACUUCGGAUCUGCGGUGGGUACGGGCAGACUAGAGUGAUGUAGGGGAGACUGGAAUUCCUGGUGUAGCGGUGAAAUGCGCAGAUAUAUGGAAGAACACCAGUGGCGAAGGCGGCUCUCUGGUCUGCAACUGACGCUGAGGCUCGAAAGCAUGGGUAGCGAACAGGAUUAGAUACCCUGGUAGUCCAUGCCGUAAACGAUGAGUGCUAAGUGUUGGGAGGUUUCCGCCUCUCAGUGCUGCAGCUAACGCAUUAAGCACUCGCCUGGGGAGUACGACGCAAGGUUGAAACUCAAAGGAUUGACGG